UCUCUCUCUCAGAAGUCAGAACACACCCCAUUCUCUACGCCUCCCCUCUCUCUCUCUCAGAACACACCCCAUUCUCCUCCUCUCUCCGCCAUCUCUCUCUCUCACCAGUCGCCUCGCCACUUCUCCAUCGUCGGCGACGAAAGCUAUGUCGCCGUCGCGGCUCCCCCUUCCCCUAUCUUGCUUCUCUCUCUGUCAAAAAGGAAAUCCCCAAAAUCCUAAACCCUUUCCUUCGAUUUCAAGGGAGAGGCAGUCGGAGCAGCGCCUUGCCGUCGCGGUACAGCAGCAGCGUCGCUCAGCCACCUUCUCUCCCGUCUCCGUGACGUCGCGACCCUCGCCAAUCGCCCCCAGAUCUGAGACUUCCGAUACCCUCGACCCUCGCCGUUCCGCCGCCCAGCCGUUUCCCAGAUCCGAGACCCUUGUAUGUAUGUAAUCGCCGCCCAGCCGUUUCCCAGAUCCGAUACCCUCGGCGCUGCUGCUUCUUCUUCUGUACAUAUUUGAUUUUGAUUCUUGAAAGUUGCUGUACAGAUUCUUGAUUUUGAUUAUUGAAAGUUGUUGUACAGAUUCUUGAUUUUGAUUUUGAUUAUUGAAAGUUGUUGUACAGAUUCUUGAUUUUGAUUUUGAUUCUUGAAAGUUGCUUACAGAUCGGGUAAUUUAGGGUACCCGAAUACCCGACUCGGGUACCCGAGUCGGGUAUUAGGGUACCCGAUUUCAAAUUCGGGGUCGGGG
This 726-nucleotide long non-coding RNA is filed under the name Salvia miltiorrhiza (redroot sage). RNAcentral's name for it is "long non-coding RNA (SMIL_LNC011190)". Lineage: Eukaryota; Viridiplantae; Streptophyta; Magnoliopsida; Lamiales; Lamiaceae. The record is from RNAcentral.